AGAGAAUCAUGGGAGAUUUAUACAAUGGAUUUUCUUGCAAUUAGAAGACAUGGUUUAUUUAUUUCAUAAUGAAUAAAGUUUACCGAACAGACUUUCACAUGUCCUCAUGCACAAACUAAGUUCUUUCUCACCAGAUUUGGUUUUCAAAAAUUGGUUUUUUUUCAUUGUCAGUCUUAAAUGCGUUGGUGAAAUACAUACAACAAUUUCUUUUGAACAAAUCCCACAUCUCUGUUAUCAUCCUAAAGCUUAUCUCAUAAUAGCAUAUGUAUCCUAUUUGUACCACCAUGCUUGCAAGGGACAUAUUAGUCCUUAAACAAAAUUCAAUAAAAUAUUUAUAACCAUUUUUUGUGGCAAGUAUUUUAUGGGAUCUAUUAUUAAGUUAUGGUAAAUCAAUAAGCAUUUCAUGAUGCAAGAUAAUUUUAAUGUUAUUGUACCUAUUAUAAACUCAAAUGGUCACAAGUGCCUUCCAGUUUGUCGGGGAGCAGAAUGAAACUUGUCUAGAAAGACCCUCCACUAAACCCACGAAUUGGAUCUCACCUCCAGUCUGGAGAUGUUUAGGGAUAUAACAGAGUGGCAUUUUGGUGCUUAAAACCAUCAUGCUUUAAAAUCACUUUCAUAAAUGUCACAUAAAUUUUGAUGUUUUAAGUUGAAGACUUUUUUUAAAAUAAGUACAUAGAAAAGCAUGGAUUAUAAAGCAAAUCCCUUUUAACUUGACAUAACUAUUAUCAUUUUAAUUAUUAAUAUACUAUAUUAAUCUAUCUAUAAUGUGCACCAUCCAUUUAGUACUAAGGUUGUAAAUAUAUGGAUAGACACAUUAAAAUUCCUAUGGCUCCUUUUAGACUUUAGUGUUUGUUGGCAUCAGGAAAUUUCGCCUUGCACGUUUGUGGACCCAAGCACGCUCCGUCAUGAGAUCAUACAAUAAAUAGAAAUACAAACAUCAAUAUGACAAUUGCAAACCAUGACAACCACCAUAUUCUUGCUAUGAUAACCAUGCCAUUGGAACAAAAGGCCACCUCAGGAAUGAGAUAAAAUGUAAUGGAACAAAUUGUAUUACUCCUAGGUACCACUUAAAAGGAUAGACAAAACCAUGAUUAAAAUUCUCCUCAUGUCUUCCUUUAUUUCAAUAAAAAGAAUUCCUAUUAAAAAUCUAAAUCAACUGAAUUGAUGAUCCCAUCAUUAGAUCUUAACUCGAUGCAUGUGAAUGUUAGGGUGUCCCCUAUUCUAAGCGAUGCGCCACAACCCGACCUAAUUAUGGCGAGAAGCGAACAAGGGUUGGCUAGAUCGUUAUCACAAGCAACCUCCUACAACAUGACUAUAGCUGAUCGUAGGCCGGACCUCAGGCCUAAACUCUAUUCAUUUUUAAUCGAGCUUCAGACCGAGCCUAUUUAAAAUAUGAUCUUUUCGUGCCCAAUCUCUGCCCAUGAUCAGCUCUAAACAUGACCCAGUUAUAGUGAUAAAUAAGCAAGGGUUAGAUGGGUGAUCCAUAAAUGACACGACUGAAGUGAUAAAUAUGCAAAUAUUAGUUAGGUUAUUGCUUGUAAUUUUAGAAGCACCCUAAGCAGGGAAUAAUGGUUUUUGUCAAUAUCUGCCAAGCUCUCUGAUUUCAUAAAUACAGCUCGACCUGAUCUGUCUUUUUUUUCUGCUUUAAUUAGGACCUUCAGCGAGNNNNNNNNNNNNNNNNNNNNNNNNNNNNNNNNNGACACAGUAUCAUAUUCAUCCAGAGUGAUGGAAAACAGAUUAGGAUAAAGAUCAGAUAAAGGGAAUUGAGAUUAGAAUAAUUUUUUGGCAGGCCUGAAUUUUACAAUCUUCAAAAAAACAUCCUUCUCUGUAAUAGAACAACAGGGAGAUUUCUUGACCUAAACCGUUGCCUAAUUCCUUUGGUCCACCUAUGCCUUUGUAGGCCAACCAUAAUUAGUCUUACAUCACAAUUUCAACUUCAGUGCAAACAGAAAGAAGCACACUGCUAUAAUAACAACCACAAUUACCAAAGUACCAUGUCCACCUUUCUAGAGUAAAAUGAAAAGGAAUUUAUAUUCUUCUAAAAAGGAUGUGUUGUCAAAGGACACAUUAGAUGUCAGCCAAAUACAAACAUUUUGAACUAUGUCCUCAUUAAAAUGAUAGCUGCAGUCAGUACACAAAACAAAGCUCAAAGCACAAGGGAGAAGAAAGUAAGCAUCAUCACAACAAUUAAAAAAAUUAAUCAUUAGGACAAAGGUCACCUGAAUGCAGAUAUAAACAUCUAUCUGUAUGCGAAUAUACACACAGAGAGAAUGUCCGACAUUAAGACAUUAAGGGGCCCAAAAAUGAUGAAGAAAAUCAUGCAUGCAUCCCAUCAGUACAUAAAGAGUUACAACAUUCAAGCUUCAUUGCAAGCAUGCAAAUAUACGCCAACACUAAAAACUAGUAUAGAAAGAUCAAGUAGAAAACAAAGUAAACUUGCCUUAGGUGCACUUUCCCAAAUUUCAUCAACCAACCACCUAUAUAAAAAGUUAUAAUUUUAGUUGUACGAAGGUGUUAUACAAUGCAAAUAUAAGUAUCUCUACCGAACAUAAAUUAGUCAUAAUCUUGUGAUAACUUGGAUUUAUUAUGAAUAUAUGACAGGCCAUACAAAUGUGAAAAAACAUGAUAGGACCUGUUUUUAUUUGUUUUCAGUUGUUAGAUACGUGAACUGGGGCUACCCUCAAUGGUUAAACCCCUCUGCUUAACAACCAGAGGUUCUAGGUUCAAUUCUUGGGUGGUGCACACCCAAGCAUUAGGACAUUGGUAAUUAUAAUGCAGGUGGGCCUCCUUUCUCUCUCGAAAAAAAAGUUGUUACAUAUGCAUAGUAACUUGUAGUACUGAUGAAAGCAUAAUAAUCUAGCGCACACAAGUUCAUCAUCACAAAUGCCAAUACCCAACUUAUUUGGAUCCAGCGUACAAGCCUAUAGCUUUUCAUAUCUGGGGGUGUCUCAACAUCAUCACUUGGCUCACAUGCUACCUAAUCUAGCUUAUAUAUGUGCUGUCACGCCCCGAGCCUGGGUGUUGGCCCGCGGGGCUUUGUGGUCCCAAACCCCGCGCCAAGGUUUGGAAGUUGUUGUGUUGUUGGGACCGACUUGAUGUGGGUAACGCGCCUUUUCUUGCUGCUCUUGGAACCAUGCCGUGUGCUCUUCCAAUGAUGGUGCCGGCAGUGGAAAAAAGAAUCAAGAUGGGCUCACAAUGAAAAGGAACCGACUCUUAUUCCAAUAAGCAACGAAAUACAAGGGACUCUCGGCAAGGGUCAGGAAGGGACCUUGCACUGCCUAAAACAAUCUAGGGGGGCUGAUGUUCCCCACCCUAGCCCAAAUCUAAGGCCUAACCCCUAGAUCGAAAUCGGCACAAGUGCCGCCCAAGCCUUGCGGCCGAAAAUUCCCACUAAGGGACCUAGGGGAUUAACCCCGAACAAUGACAACUCAAAACAAUUCUUCAAUGAUCUAAUGGAUGCCUUCAAAGGGCCUUAAGGGCUCCUUUAUAUAGGCCUAACGCCUUGGCUUAUUCUCGGAAUGAAUUCAAAAUUCAAAACUAUUCUAAAUCAGCCACAAGGAGAUCUAAUUUGAAUUUGAAUUCCUUUGGCCAUGUGCUGAAUUCUGCUAGGAACUUGGAUGCCUGGGAUGCGUUGCUCGGUUGGCCGGAUCGCGUGUCCCGUGCGGGUGCUGCCAUGUGUCCAUGGUUGGCUGAUAUGGUAUCCCUUGGUGGCUGGUUGUUGGCUGCUCCCAGGCUGGCUUGGACGCGGAUCCUGGUUGGCCGGGACGCAUGUCUUGGUUGGCCGGGACGCGGAUCCGGCAGUUUUGCUUCCGUGGAUUGCUGACUUGUCCUCUUGUCCUCCUCUUAUCUUGCGGCCUGAUGCAUCUUGGCCGCCCAUGCACUUGCUCGCUGGUUUGCUAUGGAAGAGUCCACGGACUCCUCACAUUUUACAUGUGCUCUUUCUUCCUUUGGCCCCUUGCUUGGAUUUGUGCCAUGUGGCUCGGCCUGCUGCUUUUGGUUGUGCGCUGCCUUUGGGGGCCUUCUUUCCUUCUUUGCUGGUUGGGCCCACAUGUGAUGCAUCUGUUGGCUGAUGAGCUGCCCGUUGGUUCGUGCUUGAUUUGCCAAGUGCCAAUGUGGUCCGGCUUGGCCGAACAUAGGCUGAUUUGCAUGGGUUCAGCCUGCCCAUAUGUUGCUGGUAUGCAUGGCUGCUAUGUUUGGCAUGUGGGGGCAUUUGUGCUUGCGGGCGCGUGGCCCCUUGGAUGGCAUUUGGCUGAUGCGUGGCUUGGGCGCGCCAUGCAGACGUGGGUGCAGAGCGCUGCUGGAAGUGCACGUGCAGGUGCGCGCGCUGCUGGGGCCGCGCGUGGGCUGCUGCUGCUGCAGUGGCUCGAGCGUGUGGUUGGUCGCGCGCUCGGGCUGCGGUCGUCGGUUGCGCGUGGGCACAGAGCGCCAAGUGUGCUCCGGCAAGGUUGGGCGCGCGCUGGCGGGUUUCCUUGCGCGCGCAUGCUGCUACAGUCGGGCGCGGAUGCCCGGAUAUGGCCGAGUGUGCAUGCGGAGGGCCGCGCGCUGCCGGUGCGCGCGGUGGUGCGCACGCAGAGGGCUGCGCGCGGGCUGGUGGGGCGCGCGGAGGGCCGCGCACUGCUGUAGUCGGGCGCGGGCGCCAGGAGGUUGCUGAGUGCGCGCACAGAGGGUCGCGCGUUGCUGGUCGUGAACGCAGAGGGUCGUGCGCUGCCGGUUGAGCGCUCGCGGAGGUCCACGUGCGGGCUGGUGCGCACCCGGUCGGGCGCACGUUGGCUGAUGCGUGCGCAGAGGGCUGCGCGCGGGCUGAUGGGGUGCGCAGAGGGCCGCGCGCCGGCUAGUGCACGCGCGGUUGGCCGCGUGCAGGUUGUGGCUGCGCGCGGGUACGGUCGUGGCUGAUGGCCCUGAACCUCACAUGGGCGCUGUGGAGGGCCUGUGCGGGGUUGGGCCGGCUGCUGCCAUGCUUGGCCAAAGCUCGGCCAAGCCGCCAAGCAAUGGAGUUGGCCCAAGUCUUGGCUUUGGGCGAGGUUGGCCUCGCUUGUUCCGGUUGAAAUUUGACUCGGCGGAGCGGGUUUGCAACAUUCCCCCUCCCUUGGAGAACAUCCUUGCCCUCAAGGAUGAAGUUGGAGUGCUCAUGUGCCGCCACAUUGUUGUCAUCCUUGCGGUAGUGGAAGUAGCCAAGCAUGUUCCUUGUGUAAUUUGGAAUGAUCGGUACAAGAACAUACCUCCAAUAGAACAAUCCUCCUUGCAACGGGUGAUUCGCAAGUCCAUCAGCCGCUGCAGCAAUUUCAUUGCAGAUUUCUGGAGUUUGCAGUCUUUGAUCUUCUGCAUCAGCAGGCUCGGUUUCAUGGGUUGUUUCGCCAUGGCUGGUUGCUGCAGACUUUGUCUCAACAUCAGGUUCUGCUUCAGCAUCUUCUACCGUGCAGGGGUUGGUUUCAGCAGCAUCUCUUUUGAUGCAAUUAGUUUCAGCAACCCGCAGAAUUGGAUUUCCUGGUUCGGUGGCUUCAAGUUGCUGGAAUUCGCUGCUGCUGCGAUCUGAAGUUGCAGCGACACCUUUGGCCUUCAGUUCGCUGCUGUCGUCCAGCAAAAGGGCCUGGUCGGAGUUGCAACUAUGGUCUUUUUUCCACUUGGCGCCGCACUUGAGGCAGAGCCCCUUGUCGAUGAAGUCUUGCAAUUCAUCACGGGUAAGUUUCUUUACCUUGUUGGCUUGGGCUGCAGCCGUCUCCUUUGCUGCUGUAGUUGGUGUCUUAGCAGCUGAUUUUGUCCGGCUGAACCUUGCGGUGGUAGAAACUUCUACGAGUGCUGAAAUUUCUGCUGCUGCAGAUUUUUUUGGUAGAGAAUCAAGAUCACCCCCAAUCCUCACUUGCUGAUCAUCUUCCUCCAAGGUUGAUGCUGCGGCCUUUGUUGUCGCAGCUGGUUGCCGCAGCUUUGGGGCUGUAUGAUCGGCUUUGGAAAAAAGUUCAUGGCCGUCGGUAGAUUUUGUAUUGGUGUUAUACUUGUGGUUGGAUGUUGGACAGUUAAAUCUAUGUUCCUUUGGCCCCCCUUGAAGCCUUAGAUCCCUAGUAGAACUCUCAUCAUAGACAUCACCAAUCAGCCCUUUCUUCCUCCUAUCCAUGUGUCUUCUCCGGCCUUCAAGCCUUCGAACAUGGACAAGCUCCUCUUCGGACUCGGUACUCUCAUCAUAGUACCCCAUAUCUCUCUCUAUCUUGGUCUCCCUCUAAUCUUCUCUCUACAACACUUCUUCUUCGAUUCAUGUUUUCCCUCAUAUUUUUUCUUACUUUCUCUCCUUAUGUCAGCCAAAGUGUUUAUAAUAUUUUCCCACAUUCGGCCUAGUUGGUUAUUACUACCUUUUGAGUCGCCCCCCAACUCCAUGAUAGAUCUACAAUCUUUUUUUUCCAAACAAAAACCAAUCCUCCUAUGGAAGUCACCCAAAGGAUGAGCCGACCCUCCUUAUGAUGUGAGGAUUACACACACAAAAUCUCCCUUACAAGGACAAUCUCUCAACUAUCACGACAAUGUUUUAAAACCCCUUUACAAUCAGAUCUCUCAAGCAAUAGCAAUGAAAAACUUAGAUCUGAUUUUCAGAUCUCAUGAACUAAUCAAUACCGAAUUUAGAUCUGAAAAGGUAGUGCGUUACCCUUUUAGAUCGCCCUUCCAUGGAUUUGGACUAAAGCCGAUUACCCGACGAUCUCCGUUGUAGUCUCUCAAUGAAAGCACCAGUGUUGGCCCGCGGAGCUUUGCGGUCCCAAACCCCGUGCCAAGGUUUGGAAGUUGUUGUGUUGUUGGGACCGACUUGAUGUGUGUAACGCGCCUCUUCUUGCUGCUUUUGGAACCACGCCGUGUGCUCUUCCAAUGAUGGUGCCGGCAGUGGGAAAAAGAAUCAAGAUGGGCUCCCAAUGAAAAGGAACUGACUCUUAUUCCAAUAAGCAACGAAAUACAAGGGACUCUCGGCAAGGGUCAGGAAGGGACCUUGCACUGCCUAAAACAAUCUAGGGGGCCUGAUGUUCCCCACCCUAGCCCAAAUCUAAGGCCUAACCCCUAGACCGAAAUAGGCACAAGUGCCGCCCAAGCCUUGCGGCCAAAAAUUCCCACUAAGGGACCUAGGGGAUUAACCCCGAACAAUGACAACUCAAAACAAUUCUUCAAUGAUCUAAUGGAUGCCUUCAAAGGGCCUUAA
This 7171-nucleotide long non-coding RNA is filed under the name Phoenix dactylifera (date palm). Its description in RNAcentral is "long non-coding RNA (PDAC_LNC008353)". Lineage: Eukaryota; Viridiplantae; Streptophyta; Magnoliopsida; Arecales; Arecaceae. The record is from RNAcentral.